Long non-coding RNA from Capsicum annuum, 505 nucleotides. RefSeq lists it as uncharacterized. The record is from RefSeq and is a predicted model, not a curated record. Lineage: Eukaryota; Viridiplantae; Streptophyta; Magnoliopsida; Solanales; Solanaceae. The transcript is spliced from 2 exons.
UCUUACUCAUGUUGUCUUAGAAGCUUUGCACUUCAAAAAUGGGGGACUUAGAGGCGGAAAUGCUCUUGAUAAAGAGGUUUAAACGUGAUUUUCAUCCUGCUCUUCCACACUUCUUGUACUUACAAAUAAGAGGCACGGUUAUUCCUUAUGACUUGAAAGUGCAAACUGCAGAACUUGUGUAUGAUUUUGGAGAAUCUUUGUGAAAAAUACAACACUACAAAGUUUUUUCUUAUGAAUGGCCUCAAUGGUCGCGUCUCCAGUAGACCAUCAACAGGUUUUGAGCCCAAUACUAGCGAUAGGUGAUCCUCACUUUGGAUUGGAGAUUAUCGAAGUUUCAGGAGGUAGUUGUUUAGUUGUUCCAUCGUAUCUGGACAAUUUGUAUAAAUUUUGAAUUCUUGCUCAUGUUGUCUUAGAAGCUUUGCACUUAUGUGUGUAUUUUGGGGUUGUAAACUGUACUCUUCCUAAGUUCUGUAUUGAUAUAUGAAACUAUGACUUUAAGACUUCA